AACGAACGCUGGCGGCAUGCCUAACACAUGCAAGUCGAACGAGACCUUCGGGACUAGUGGCGCACGGGUGCGUAACGCGGGGGAAGCUGCCCUUGGGUUCGGAAUAACUCGCCGAAAGGCGUGCUAAUACCGGAUGAUGACGGAUGACCAAAGAUACGUCGCCCAAGGAUGAGCACGCGUUGGCUUAGCUAGUUGGUGAGGUAAAGGCCCACGAAGGCGACGAUCGAUAGCGGGGCUGAGAGGAUGAUCCGCCACACUGGGGCUGAGACACGGCACGGAAUACUACACGAGGCGCGAGUGCCGGAUCUUGCCCUACCGCGGGAGUGCAGAUGCCGUUCUGCCGGGUGAGUCCUGUAGUCCUUAGGGUUGUACAGCUCUUUUACCCCGGGUUGUACUGACCGUACCCGAAGAAUAAGCUCCGGCUAACUUCGUG
RNAcentral lists this ribosomal RNA (433 nucleotides) under uncultured bacterium. Its description in RNAcentral is "partial 16S ribosomal RNA". It matches the Rfam family "Bacterial small subunit ribosomal RNA", at positions 29 to 507 of the family's 1533-position model. The record is from RNAcentral.